GAUUGACGAGGCCAUAAAGAAUAAUGUUUGCUGACUUUGUGCGAUAAAACAUCAAUAUAGAUUGCUUGGAACAGCGUUUAUUUUAUUUCAGCCGUACGCUUGGACCGCCCUGGCCUGCACGUUUCACACUGGCGAACGUCACCCAUUAAAAAGGGAAAGGAAGUUGCCAGACUCUUGAUAAAAAUCAAUUGACCCCAGCAGUUGGGAGAUACUGCAGUGAUGAGAACGGAUAAUCUUCAAGAAAAGACAGGACACAUAAAAUUAGACAGGAUUUCCAAAGAC
Molecule: non-coding RNA, 282 nt
Organism: Chiloscyllium plagiosum (whitespotted bambooshark)
Lineage: Eukaryota; Metazoa; Chordata; Chondrichthyes; Orectolobiformes; Hemiscylliidae
Source: RefSeq, a predicted model, not a curated record